GUGCCAGCCGCCGCGGUAAUACCGGCAGCCCGAGUGAUGGCCGAUAUUAUUGGGCCUAAAGCGUCCGUAGCUGGCCGAACAAGUCUCCCGGGAAAUCCACCCGCCCAACGGGUGGGCAUCCGGUAGAAACUGGCCGGCUUGGAACCGGAAGGCUCAGAGAGUACGUCCGGGGCAGGAGUGAAAUCCCGUAAUCCCGGACGGACUACCGAUGGCGAAAGCACUUUGAGAAGACUGCUUCGACAGUGAGGGACGAAAGCUCGGGUCUCAAACCGGAUUAGAAACCACGGUAGUCC
Molecule: ribosomal RNA, 293 nt
Filed under: uncultured bacterium
Lineage: Bacteria
Description: partial 16S ribosomal RNA
Rfam family: Archaeal small subunit ribosomal RNA
Source: RNAcentral